RNA transcript from Pan troglodytes (chimpanzee), 6732 nucleotides. It is a transcript of the gene named angiogenic factor with G-patch and FHA domains 1, with no coding region annotated. The record is from RefSeq and is a predicted model, not a curated record. Lineage: Eukaryota; Metazoa; Chordata; Mammalia; Primates; Hominidae. The transcript has 15 exons.
UGAGGCCAACAGAUCAGGAGAUGGUCUGCUAUCAAAAAGACAGUUUAUUAUUCACCCAGCCCAAGAGGAGGAUGCACACCAAGCCACACAAGGCAAUGUGGAGAAGCACUAAGGUCCAAAGGAGGCAGAAGGAGUGGGAGGAAACAUGGCAAAAAACAUUAUGUGAUUUUUGCAGGAAGGAAUGGACAAAUCAGGAUAAGCAGGUUUAGUUUGCAUAAUUUCAGUGGGAUCUGAGAUGUAGGAGUUGUUCCUAGUUGUCUGGUACUUUGCCCUGGAGUGAUUAGGGCAGGGGAAUAUUGGCAUGGAGUGUAACAGCCUGAUAAAGAAGGUAGAUGAUAAGUGAGUUGUUUGCUAUGUCUAGGAAUUAGCUAACCCUUGGAGGGGUUAUCUCCCUGGUCAGGAAGACCCCAGAUGCCAGAGCAUCAAGAAUACAAAAAAUAAGAAAAUAUAGUUAAUGGAAGUGGCCACUGAUCUAAGACACCAAACAGGAUUCUCUUGUUCAGCUGUGUUCAGCAUUUACGGAUACUGCUCUGUGACAGGCACUGUGCUGGGCCCUGAGAGAGGAGCAUCUGCAUGACACAGCUGCUGACCUCCACAAAUCUCAGGCCCAGGACUCUGAGCUCAUGAUCUAAUUCUAAAUGACUUUGGCAAAGGAAGGAAGUGUGUUCCAAAGAAGGGCUCAUCAGUUUAAAUGUUGGCAAACCAAUGCCAGGGUCAUGCAGACAAAAGACCAAAUAAAUGCACCAAACCAGAGCAUUUUUCUCCCCUUUUCCACAGAAUAUUGUCUCUCUCUUAUUUUCCCACCAGGGAUGCUCCUUUUUGCGACUCAGACCUAAUGUACUUGCUCUAUUUUCCCAGGGGGUCUAAACUCAGGAACCAGAAGAAUGACUAAAUGAGAAAUAAAAGUAAACUUCUGAGCCCCUGAACUGACUGAAUAGACCCAUUGUUCACUACAUAGAAAGCCAGUCAUUGAGACAAGGAGUAUUGCCAGGGAAGAAGGUUCUAUUUGGGUGCUGCAGCCAAGGAGAAUAGGAAAUCAGUCUCAAAUCCAUCUCCUCAACCAACUAAAAUUAGAGGUUUAUAUGGCAAGGGAGAAAUGUGACUACAUGUGAGAAAACAGGAAUUAGUGAGCGGUAAGGAUGAGGACUUGUUCAACAGGCAGCAGGUGGCUGGUUAGGCAAUCAUGAUGGGUGAGGGGUAUGGUGCCUCAUUGUCCAGAUGCAGUGAUCUGGUAAGUUUCAAUUCCUUGAUACUAUCUGGGAGGCCUCAUGGUUGGUUUCCCAAGAAAGGAACUCAGAUAAGAAAGAUGUAACUUUCUGAAGUUUUAAGACUGGGAGGGUAAAUUUCCAGGUUUAUUCAAAAGAAACCAUAAACAUCAGUUCUAUAGGACAGUUGGGCUGAUUUCACACCAACCAGCAUUCCUUCCUGAUAAGAGACCACCAACCACAGAGAAGUUCUGGCCAAUCUACCAGGGACUAACAGUGAGGGUUUUCAUGUCCUCUGCUUUGCCAUUUGACAUCGGAGGGCUGAAAACUUCACACUGGGAUCAUGCUAACACCACCAUUUUUUGAAUAUGGGUCCCAUAGAGAGGCAGGAAGCUUAAUUGUGCAUGUGCAUAUUUCUCCUUUCAUAAAUAUUCAUGAAUCCUCCUACAGCUCAUUGAAUAUAUUUGGCCACCCUGCUCAGCAUAAAUUUCUGUUCCCUUUGUCCUUCCUUCCAAGUGUCUGUUCUCAGCUUCUGACCAGAGGCUAUGCUUCCAAGCCUGUCAGAAAGGCCACCCUGCAGGCUGUAACCCUUCAUGAGAAAUAAAGCCCUUUUCUAAAUUUAUUAACCUCCUCAUUCUUCAGUUGACAUAAGUAGAGCAUCAUAGUCCCCACAAAUCAUUUCUGGGAUACUCUGUUCUUAUUUGUAAAACAAGGAGAUAGGAAAUGCAUGCUAUACUAAAAGUUUGUUCAAAGAACAUCAGCACGUGCAAAUGUCUGGGACCACAGGCUGCAAGCCUCCCUAUCGCUCUUAGGGCUUCGGUAGCCACAUUGCCACAGCUCUCCACGCCCUCAGGUAACGCCCCUCCGCAGGCCGAGACGUCGGCACGUACACCGUCAGGUCUUCCCGCUUUCCGUCGCUUCCUGUUCCGUCUUGGUCCCGCCUGCCGCUGGCGCCGUUGUUUCCGGCUCAACUGGGGAGCUGCUGGAGCUCUUUUGGCCUCUGGUUUUCCGACUGCUUAUCCGACGCUCCUCCCUCUGUCUCUGUAGCUGGAGGAGGUAGUUUCCAGGAAAGUUUUCCGGUUUGCAGGCCGCGCACAUCGGGCAGGGGCCAUCCUCGGUCCCCUUGCUCGCAGCCCCGUUCGGCUACAAGUGAGUUUCAGGGCGUCAUGGCCAGGGGCCACCGCGGCCAGCCGGGUGUGAGGCUGCCUUUCGCUGCCCGCGCGCUCCAGUGGUCUCUGGGUCCGCCGGCGUCCGUUUCGGCCUGAACGCAGCCCCUCCGCGGCGACGAGCAGUCUCGCGCCGGAGCUCAUGGCCUCGGAGGCGCCGCGGUCGCCGCCGCCGCCCACCUCCCCCGAGCCUGAGCUGGCCCAGCUAAGGCGGAAGGUGGAGAAGUUGGAACGUGAACUGCGGAGCUGCAAGCGGCAGGUGCGGGAGAUCGAGAAGCUGCUGCAUCACACAGAACGGCUGUACCAGAACGCAGAAAGCAACAACCAGGAGCUCCGCACGCAGGUGGAAGAACUCAGUAAAAUACUCCAACGUGGGAGAAAUGAAGAUAAUAAAAAGUCUGAUGUAGAAGUACAAACAGAGAACCAUGCUCCUUGGUCAAUCUCAGAUUAUUAUUAUCAGACGUACUACAAUGACGUUAGUCUUCCAAAUAAAGUGACUGAACUGUCAGAUCAACAAGAUCAAGCUAUCGAAACUUCUAUUUUGAAUUCUGAAGACCAUUUACAAAUAGAAAAUGAUGCUUACCCUGGUACCGAUAGAACAGAAAAUGUUAAAUAUAGACAAGUGGACAAUUUUGCCUCAAAUUCACAGGAGCCAGCAUCUGCAUUAGCAACAGAAGAUACCUCCUUAGAAGGCUCAUCAUUAGCUGAAAGUUUGAGAGCUGCAGCAGAAGCAGCUGUAUCACAGACUGGAUUUAGUUAUGAUGAAAAUACUGGACUGUAUUUUGACCACAGCACUGGUUUCUAUUAUGAUUCUGAAAAUCAACUCUAUUAUGAUCCUUCCACUGGAAUUUAUUACUAUUGUGAUGUGGAAAGUGGUCGUUAUCAGUUUCAUUCUCGAGUAGAUUUGCAACCUUAUCAGACUUCUAGCACAAAACAAAGUAAAGAUAAAAAAUUGAAGAAGAAAAGAAAAGAUCCAGAUUCUUCUGCAACAAAUGAGGAAAAGGAUUUGAACUCAGAGGAUCAAAAAGCCUUCAGUGUUGAACAUACAAGCUGCAAUGAGGAAGAAAAUUUCGCAAAUAUGAAAAAGAAGGCCAAAAUAGGCAUUCAUCACAAAAAUAGUCCCCCCAAAGUCACUGUUCCAACUAGUGGAAAUACUAUAGAGUCUCCUCUUCAUGAAAACAUCUCUAAUUCAACAUCAUUUAAAGAUGAGAAAAUCAUGGAGACUGAUAGUGAACCAGAGGAAGGUGAAAUUACAGAUUCUCAGACUGAGGAUAGUUUUGACGAAGACAUUACCAGUGAAGGCAAUGUAACUGCAGAAGAUAGUGAGGAUGAAGAUGAAGACAAAAUUUGGCCCCCAUGUAUUAGAGUAAUUGUCAUUAGAUCACCUGUGUUGCAGAUAGGAUCACUCUUUAUCAUUACUGCUGUAAACUCUGCUACAAUUGGAAGAGAAAAGGAUAUGGAACAUACUCUCCGAAUCCCUGAAGUUGGUGUCAGUAAGUUUCAUGCAGAAAUUUAUUUUGACCAUGACUUACAAAGUUAUGUCCUUGUGGAUCAAGGCAGUCAAAAUGGCACAAUUGUUAAUGGAAAACAGAUUCUUCAGCCGAAAACUAAAUGUGACCCUUACGUACUUGAGCAUGGAGAUGAAGUCAAAAUUGGAGAAACUGUCUUAUCCUUUCACAUUCAUCCUGGCAGUGAUACCUGUGAUGGCUGUGAACCAGGGCAGGUUAGAGCCCACCUUCGCCUUGAUAAGAAAGAUGAAUCUUUUGUUGGUCCAACACUAAGUAAGGAGGAAAAAGAGUUGGAAAGAAGAAAAGAAUUAAAGAAAAUACGAGUAAAAUAUGGUUUACAGAAUACAGAAUACGAAGAUGAAAAGACAUUGAAGAAUCCAAAAUAUAAAGAUAGAGCUGGAAAACGCAGGGAGCAGGUUGGAAGUGAAGGAACUUUCCAAAGAGAUGAUGCUCCUGCAUCUGUUCAUUCUGAAAUUACUGAUAGCAACAAAGGUCGGAAGAUGUUGGAGAAGAUGGGUUGGAAGAAAGGAGAGGGCCUGGGGAAGGAUGGUGGAGGAAUGAAAACGCCGGGUGGAAUGACAUACUCUGCAGCAUCUAAAUGAAAUUCGGUGAUUGCUGGUUAAGGAGCACUCUAUUUUCUGUAAAGUAGGCUGUACUUAUUGACAAGGCAAGACAACAUAGAAAAACGAAUUAUCCAGCUUCAGCUUCGGCGAACACAUGCAGGCUUGGGGACAGGCAAACCAUCCUCAAUUGAAGAUGUUCACCUUCUCCAAAACAAGAACAAAAAAAACUGGGACAAAGCACGAGAGCGGUUUACUGAAAACUUCCCAGAAACUAAGCCUCAAAAAGAUGACCCAGGGACCAUGCCUUGGGUAAAAGGGACUUUAGAGUGAAGGCUAAUCAUAGAAAAAAAACUCUAGUUUUUUUAAAAAUAGAAUUUGGAAACUUAUUUUUUUCUCCCCAAAAGAAUCAGCAGCACAGGGGAACUAUGUCACAGUUUACCUCUUCCUGAUUCAGAAAUGUGUAUGGUUUGCAGCUUUUAAAAACCAUUUUUUUAAAACUAAUAAAUAGUGACUGAACCAAUUUAGGCAGUAAAUAGACUAAAGUUCACAGGGCACGGAUGAGUUUAUCAAACUUCGUUAUUUUAUCUUGUCAUUUACAACAUCCAUAUAAGCAACUAGCCAUAUAAGCAAAAUUCAUAGAACUACUAAUGACUUAAGUGUACAUCUGUUCUUGUCUCCAUAUAUUCAUGUAAGAUGCACAACAAAAGAAACAUCAGAAGUUUAUAAAAAUAAAUCUGACUAUAUGCAUCCUCAUUUAUUCCCUUUAGAACCUAGGUAAAAAAUGUUGCGAAAACAUGGGUAGUGGCGCAUAUAUUUUGUUAUCCUUGAAAUAGCCUAAGUAAUGUUAUUGAAGAACUAAUGAACAGGUAACAUAUUGUAGAAAAUUAGUCUUUCAUUGUUUUCUUCUGUGAAGAAUCUGUUGCUAUGUACUAUAUAUUCAGCAUUUAUAUUUGGUUUGUUUCAUAGCUAAUGAGGUAUUUAGAUAUGAACAACUGAAUACAUAUUGAAAUAGUGUGCUGGCUUUUGUAGUUUUGAUAAAGACCAUUGCAGGCAAUGGAACUGUGCCAGAGAAAUCUGAUUUCUAGUACAAAAGGAAUACUUAGCCAGGGCCUCAAGCUCAAGAUACUUAUUGAAAACAUCCUCAAUUGCAAUAAAAACAUUAUGACAUGAAAAAGAGUGAUUUUUUGAACCGGUGAUUUAAAUGUAUUGAUCUGCUUUGAAUUUUCAAGCAGCCAGAAUUUUCUAGUUUAAAUUGGCAGAGUUAUAACAAAGGAGAGCCUCCAAUAUUAGACAAUUGCAGUGCGGCUUUCUGGGCACAGGUGUCACUGCUCUGCCACCUAUCACUAUUCUUUUUCUGUUCAGUUUUUCUCUCAGGUGUUUGCUGGGAGAUUAACACUGGAACUGACCCUUUUCUGGCAGUGAAUGUAAGCUCUAGCUCCCCCAUGUACUAUAAAGAAAUGUCUUCAAGAUGUAGAAAUAAGGAAUAUUCUGAAGAUAAAAAUUAUACAGUAGUAAAGAUAAUUCAGAAAGAAAAAGCUACCUGUUAGAAUUUCCAGUCUAAAUGGCACAGGGUAGUUACGGAGAAAAGGGGAUGGAGAAGGAGAAACUGUGACUAAAGAUGAGAGGUAUGAACGAGUUGUCAGGUUCCUAUGGGCUUAAGCUAGGACAAUCAGGCCCUAAACUCCAAAUUUGGAUAAAAUAUCUCUUUGCAUUCUUCUUGGCCACCUGCAUAGUCUGACACAUACGUAUGUACAAUUAGACUUGCAGGCUGCAGGAGUGCCCUGCAUUGUUUUCUUUUAAUUAGAAAUAAAAAGUAUUAGUCUAAAUGUGGUUCUGGUGCUGGUGCCCUGUAUAUAUGUAACAAUAUAGGACCCCUCCAAAUAGGUUUUGCUUCUGGUGAAUCUUGGUCAUUGGGUUAGUAUAUGACUGUCUAUAAUAUUUUCCAUUUGUAUUAUUAUAUUGGGGAAAACAUUUUUUAUCAUUUUCUAUUAAGAAAAUGGAAAACUUAAAUAUGGUGUGAAAAUGGAAAUGUAUGUGAUAUUUGCAUUAUUAAACCCCUUUGCAGAUCUAAAGUCUCAGGGUUCCACUAUUAGUGGUUAAAGUACUGAAUAAUGUCUGGGUCUAUUUCCAUCUGUAAAAUAAGAAUAUUUGUCUCACGUGUCUGUCAUGAAUAGCAAAUGAGAAAAUGUAUAUAAAAGCACUUUGUAAAUUGUAAAAGUAGUACAGAUGUGAGCUUCUAUUUGUUUAGAAGCAUAAAUGUUAAUUAUAUACAGUUUGAAUUUUGCAUAAA